Molecule: long non-coding RNA, 472 nt
Organism: Mytilus californianus (California mussel)
Lineage: Eukaryota; Metazoa; Mollusca; Bivalvia; Mytilida; Mytilidae
Exons: 3
Source: RefSeq, a predicted model, not a curated record
AGGCAAAAGACAGACAUUCAGAUGCCUUUCAAGUUACCAAAGGAUCCUGAAGGAAUACAAAUAUUUGGAAGUGGUAUCUAAAAUGUAGCUGCUACCAGUGCCAUUUAAAGUUACCUGAGCAGAAAUUUAAGUUAAGGAGAAAGUGAUACACAAGAUUUUCCAGAAGAACUACAUAAUCAUUAAUGAGCUACAUAAUCAGUCACAUAUAAAGUCUUGGCGGCAGCAUGUUAUAAGAUGUUUGAACCAAGACCGUUGACAUACUACCCUUUUGGAUGAAUUAAAGCCUGAAGAAGUUUUGAUCAUUAUGGACUGGGCCAUGAAUUAUUUGCCCUAAUCCUUCAAGGAAAAGGAAUCAAAGUGGUUUGGUUAGAAGGGACUGAAUUGGCUUGUGUGUGUCUGCACCUUCAAAGAUAAUGACUUGAUUGAUUAUUUGUGAAAAUUGUUUUCAUAGAAUUAUAAAGAAAAUAAUGCU